This 245-nucleotide ribosomal RNA is filed under the name uncultured bacterium. RNAcentral describes it as "partial 16S ribosomal RNA". It matches the Rfam family "Bacterial small subunit ribosomal RNA", at positions 118 to 348 of the family's 1533-position model. The record is from RNAcentral.
UGGGUAACCUGCCUCAAAGAGGGGAAUAGCCUCCCGAAAGGGAGAUUAAUACCGCAUAAUAUGUUUUAGUCGCAUGACUUAAACAUCAAAGGAUUUUUCUUUUAAGAAAUUCCACUUUGAGAUGGACCCGCGGCGCAUUAGCUAGUUGGUGAGGUAACGGCUCACCAAGGCAACGAUGCGUAGCCGACCUGAGAGGGUGAUCGGCCACAUUGGAACUGAGACACGGUCCAGACUCCGUAGGGAGG